CUUCACUAAUUUUCGAUAUCACCAAUUUCAAUUCCCCUUCCCACACUAAUGAUUUCACCCUCACAUUCACCAAUUCCUCCACCAGAUUUCCACCAACUGCACUCGGAUUCCAGUCGCCACCGCCGCCUUCACCGCGCCGGCCACCUCCCUUCCCCCGCAAGCCCUCCGAUCUGCAUCGCCGCCUCUUUCUUUCUUCAAUCGGCGGCUCCACCCCCCACCGCUCUCUCCGCCGCUCCCGCAGCCUCAGCCGCUUCUCCCGCCCCAUUGCGCCAGAGCCGGAGGCCGAGAUGGACUGCAUCAAAAACGUGCCCAGGGGAAAAUUCGUCAACACCACGAGGGGCUCGACCUCGCUGGCACCAACCGCGAAUCGCCGAGCCCCUAGAUCCCCAAAGUCUCACCGCCUCUUUGUGAUUUUCGGCGACCACGGCAGCCAUGUCCGCCGAUCUGCCACCUCCCUUCCCCCAUAUGAUUUUUGGUUUAGAGGAUUAAGGGAUUGCUUACUUCCCUGUUUUGGCGGGUGGCGGCUGGAAAUUUUUUAGACAUUAUCGUAGACAAACAGGAAGAAAUUAUCAUUAUAUGACCAAGGAUUUUUUGUUUCCCAGUUCUCUAUCACAAUCUCUGUUUGCAUGGCUGAAGUAAGUGUUGAUUCUCUGGUUAGUCCCGAAAAAGAUAAAUUGAACGAUGGGAAAAUAAAUGAUAAAAUGAAGGUUCUGCUGGGAAUCAGGAUUCUCUGAGUAAUGGGCUAUGAAAAUUUUAUUGCGAGAAACAACUUUUUGGAAGAGGGAUUUGAGUUCUGUUUCGAAGUCAUUAAAAUCCAGAUGGUGUUUGUUCAGGAUUCAAGAUUUGUUGAAGGAUGGUGAUGAGGGGUUGAAGAUUGUAGGCCAUUUUUCUGUUCACUCACAAAGGAUAGGAAAAUUUGUAGCAACAAUGAUCCUAUCUGUAUAGCUACGUAGUUGUAGUAUUGACUUUGAGCAAAUUAAACAAAACUGUUAUUAUAAAAUAUUGAUUAGGUUGUAGUUUGAACUAUAUGCCUUGAAUCCGUCCUAGAUUCAAAUUAAAUAACACUAAAUUAUUUAUCUAAA
Molecule: long non-coding RNA, 1082 nt
Organism: Salvia miltiorrhiza (redroot sage)
Lineage: Eukaryota; Viridiplantae; Streptophyta; Magnoliopsida; Lamiales; Lamiaceae
Exons: 4
Source: RefSeq, a predicted model, not a curated record